CGGAACGGGUGAGUAACGCGUGAGGAACCUGCCUCAAAGAGGGGGACAACAGUUGGAAACGACUGCUAAUACCGCAUAAGCCCACGGCUCGGCAUCGAGCAGAGGGAAAAGGAGCAAUCCGCUUUGAGAUGGCCUCGCGUCCGAUUAGCUAGUUGGUGAGGUAACGGCCCACCAAGGCGACGAUCGGUAGCCGGACUGAGGGGUUGAACGGCCACAUUGGGACUGAGACACGGCCCAG
This 238-nucleotide ribosomal RNA is filed under the name uncultured bacterium. RNAcentral describes it as "partial 16S ribosomal RNA". It matches the Rfam family "Bacterial small subunit ribosomal RNA", at positions 100 to 334 of the family's 1533-position model. The record is from RNAcentral.